Long non-coding RNA from Herpailurus yagouaroundi (jaguarundi), 282 nucleotides. RefSeq lists it as uncharacterized. The transcript has 3 exons. The record is from RefSeq and is a predicted model, not a curated record. Lineage: Eukaryota; Metazoa; Chordata; Mammalia; Carnivora; Felidae.
CCACAGUCCCCUGGAUAGUCAGCUCUUCCUUCUCCGUCUGCUUUCUCCAACCUGGGUGAAAUUAACCGUUACUAAGUACAGGCCAGGAGCAAGUCAUUAACUGCUUCUUAAGUGGAUAGAAGUUGUUCACAGAAAAGAAUAUGAGUUCACUCUGCCACCACCACCUGCUGCCAUGAGCCCAAAGAAGAGGGAGGAGAGAGUUUUCUGGAGCCCAGAAGACAGCUAGCUGCCUCGAAAGGUGAAAGGGCACAGCCAGACUGCAGCAUCCUACAGGGAGGAAUC